AGAGUUUGAUCAUGGCUCAGAUUGAACGCUGGCGGCAGGCCUAACACAUGCAAGUCGAACGGUAACAGGAAGAAGCUUGCUUCUUUGCUGACGAGUGGCGGACGGGUGAGUAAUGUCUGGGAAACUGCCUGAUGGAGGGGGAUAACUACUGGAAACGGUAGCUAAUACCGCAUAACGUCGCAAGACCAAAGAGGGGGACCUUCGGGCCUCUUGCCAUCGGAUGUGCCCAGAUGGGAUUAGCUAGUAGGUGGGGUAACGGCUCACCUAGGCGACGAUCCCUAGCUGGUCUGAGAGGAUGACCAGCCACACUGGAACUGAGACACGGUCCAGACUCCUACGGGAGGCAGCAGUGGGGAAUAUUGCACAAUGGGCGCAAGCCUGAUGCAGCCAUGCCGCGUGUAUGAAGAAGGCCUUCGGGUUGUAAAGUACUUUCAGCGGGGAGGAAGGGAGUAAAGUUAAUACCUUUGCUCAUUGACGUUACCCGCAGAAGAAGCACCGGCUAACUCCGUGCCAGCAGCCGCGGUAAUACGGAGGGUGCAAGCGUUAAUCGGAAUUACUGGGCGUAAAGCGCACGCAGGCGGUUAGUUAAGUCAGAUGUGAAAUCCCCGGGCUCAACCUGGGAACUGCAUCUGAUACUGGCAAGCUUGAGUCUCGUAGAGGGGGGUAGAAUUCCAGGUGUAGCGGUGAAAUGCGUAGAGAUCUGGAGGAAUACCGGUGGCGAAGGCGGCCCCCUGGACGAAGACUGACGCUCAGGUGCGAAAGCGUGGGGAGCAAACAGGAUUAGAUACCCUGGUGGUCCACGCUGUAAACGAUGUCGACUUGGAGGUUGUGCCCUUGAGGCGUGGCUUCCGGAGCUAACGCGUUAAGUCGACCGCCUGGGGAGUACGGCCGCAAGGCUAAAACUCAAAUGAAUUGACGGGGGCCCGCACAAGCGGUGGAGCAUGUGGUUUAAUUCGAUGCAACGCGAAGAACCUUACCUGGUCUUGACAUCCACGGAAGUUUUCAGAGAUGAGAAUGUGCCUUCGGGAACCGUGAGACAGGUGCUGCAUGGCUGUCGUCAGCUCGUGUUGUGAAAUGUUGGGUUAAGUCCCGCAACGAGCGCAACCCUUAUCCUUUGUUGCCAGCGGUCCGGCCGGGAACUCAAAGGAGACUGCCAGUGAUAAACUGGAGGAAGGUGGGGAUGACGUCAAGUCAUCAUGGCCCUUACGACCAGGGCUACACACGUGCUACAAUGGCGCAUACAAAGAGAAGCGACCUCGCGAGAGCAAGCGGACCUCAUAAAGUGCGUCGUAGUCCGGAUUGGAGUCUGCAACUCGACUCCAUGAAGUCGGAAUCGCUAGUAAUCGUGGAUCAGAAUGCCACGGUGAAUACGUUCCCGGGCCUUGUACACACCGCCCGUCACACCAUGGGAGUGGGUUGCAAAAGAAGUAGGUAGCUUAACCUUCGGGAGGGCGCUUACCACUUUGUGAUUCAUGACUGGGGUGAAGUCGUAACAAGGUAACCGUAGGGGAACCUGCGGUUG
RNAcentral lists this ribosomal RNA (1522 nucleotides) under metagenome. Its description in RNAcentral is "bacterial SSU rRNA". It matches the Rfam family "Bacterial small subunit ribosomal RNA". The record is from RNAcentral.